GAGAGGCCGGAGUGGGAGCGUCUCCCGAUGCCUUUCAUCUGAGAAGUUCAAGGCACUUGGUAGAGCUUCUGCCACAGGCCGCGCGUGGGUCUUGCAGCACAUUUGUAAGCAAUGGCUGCCAUCCGGAAGAAAUUGGUGAUUUUGGUGAUGGAGCCUGUGGCAAGACUGGCUUGCGCAUCGUUUUUAGCAAGGACCAGUUCCCAGAGGUGUACGCACCCACGGUGUGUGAGAACUACGUGGCAGACCCUGAAGUGGAGGGAAAGCGGGUCGAGUUGGCUUUGUGGGACACGGCCGGGCAGGAGGAUUAGGAUCGCGUGAGGCCCCUCUCCUACCCGGACACUGAUGUUAUCCUGAUGUGUUUCUCCAUUGACAGCCCUGAUAGUUUAGAAAACAUCCCAGAAAAAUGGACUCUGGAAGUCAAGCAUUUCUGUCCCAAUGAGCCCAUCGUCCUGGUUGGGAACAUGGGAACAUGGGUACAUGGAGUGUUCAGCAAAGACCAAAGAUGGAGUGAGGGAGGUAUUCGCAAAGGCCACGAGAGCUGCUCUGCAAGCCAGACGUGGGAAGAAAAAAUCGGGGUGCCUUGUUUUGUGAACUCUGCUGCAAGCACAGCCCUCACGCGGUUCAUUUUGAAGUGCUGUUUAUUAAUCUGAGUGUAUGACUCCUGGCCUUUUUCAUUUAUCUAUAAUUUACCUAAGAUUACAAAUCAGAAGCCAUCUUGCUACCAGCAUUUAGAAGCCAACCAUGAUUAUCAAUGAUCCAGACCACCUGGCCCUCCAGGCCCUCUGACAGGGCUCUAACAGCCCUCCUCUGUGCUCCCACCUGACACACCAGGCGCUAGUGCAAGGAAUUCCUUAACUUCUUGCUUCUUUCUAGAAAGAGAAAUGGUAACUUUUGUGAGUCAGGCUGUAACUACUUCAUAACUAACAUGGCUUGCCUGUCAUCUGUCAGCUGCAAGGUGCUCUGGUGAGCUACCACUUCAGAGCUUUACUCCGAGCAGAUUUCAUUGUGGUACCUCUGGAGUGGGCACCAGUUUUUUCAAAAUGUGCUCAGCCAGAGAGGCCCUAGUUCAUGCAGCUGUGGCAAAGUUACAGCUUUGUGGUUUCAUGUUUGUUACCUUAUAGUUACUGUGUAAUUAGUGCCACUUAAUGUAUCUUACCAAAAAUAUAUGUAUAUC
This is an RNA transcript of Myotis lucifugus (little brown bat), 1174 nucleotides long. It is a transcript of the gene named transforming protein RhoA pseudogene, with no coding region annotated. The record is from RefSeq and is a predicted model, not a curated record. Lineage: Eukaryota; Metazoa; Chordata; Mammalia; Chiroptera; Vespertilionidae. The transcript has a single exon.